This 375-nucleotide ribosomal RNA is filed under the name uncultured organism. RNAcentral describes it as "partial 16S ribosomal RNA". It matches the Rfam family "Bacterial small subunit ribosomal RNA", at positions 526 to 896 of the family's 1533-position model. The record is from RNAcentral.
GAGGGGGUCCUAGCGUUGUUCGGAAUUAUUGGGCGUAAAGCGGGUGUAGGCGGAGUUUAUAAGUCAGAAGUGAAAGUCCUGGGGCUCAACCCAGGAAGGGCUUUUGAUUACUGUAGAUCUUGAGUGUGAUAGAGGAUAGUGGAAUUUCUGGUGUAGUGGUGAAAUACGUAGAUAUCAGAAGGAACAUCGGUGGGGAAGCCGGCUGUCUGGAUCAACACUGACGCUCAGACCCGAAAGCGUGGGUAGCAAACAGGAUUAGAUACCCUGGUAGUCCACGCCGUAAACGAUGGACACUUGGUGUUGGUGGUAUUGACCCCAUCAGUGCCGGAGCAAACGCGUUAAGUGUCCCGCCUGGGGAGUACGGUCGCAAGAUUA